AAAAAAUCUGACCUCAUGGUGUUUAACUACUGCUGAAGUAAUAGACUAACUGUAGAGUGUCUCAAAUUCUUACAUUUGUAGAAACACCAUCAACUGCCAUAUGCACAUGGUGUUAUUAAUACCUGUUCAGUCAUAACAUUAGAGUUAUCAUACUACUUUGUACUUAAUUUAUAUGAGGCUUAUUUGUGUAUAUAUAUGUAUAUAGAUACAUUGUGUAUAUAUACAGAUAGUUUUAUGUAUAUUCAGAUACUUUUGCCUGUGUAUAUCAUUUUUAUUCAGUUUUCUGAAUGAAUUUUACUUUUAAAAUUUAUAAAUUCUUUUUGUGAGUUAAAAUGUAAUGUGCUAAGCCACUAUAAUGUGUCAAAUAUAUGUAGUGAAUUUAUAUUAAUUUUCAGGAGUAGAUGUUAACACAUGUAUUAAGAAAAUGUGUUUAAAAUAGUUGGCCUGUAAUAGAUUUUAAAAUGUAUAUGCUUUUAGGAAAAGAGAAAUUAUUUUUGCUGAUAAAAUAUUCAUAUUUAUAGAUUUCAUUUAGUGAUGUGAUCAUUCGAGUGAUGUUGAAUUACCUAAACAUUGUUAAGAAAGGACACUUAUGUGUUUACAUAUCUCUUAUAGAAAUGUAAAAUACAAUAUAUAUUUACAAAUAUGAGUGUAUAGUCUACCAUGAUGUCUUUUCAGCUACUAAAUUAUGAGUGUGACUCAAGCAUAAAACUUAAGGUGUCAAUUUUUUGAAAAUUAUGUAUAUUGUAUAAAGAGCAUGUACUAUCAUUUUAUUUUUCUGGUCACAGAUAUUUGUGUAUAUUUUUCCAAAAGAUACCUCAAAAUUACAUAGGUAUAUAUCCAUCUGAUACCUGGCAAAAUGUAACAUUGUAAGGAAUGAGCUAUUUUUAUCAAACAGCUUGUAUUUCUACAGGUGUAAAUAUCAUGUAAAUGUCAUUGUCUUACAAUUUAUAUGACCAACUGAUAGUUUCUAAGGGGGAAACAUAUAGCUCUGUUUCAUAUUUGUUUGAAUGCCAGAGUAGAAAGUUAAACACUAACAUUUUCUACUCCAUCCUCCUAGGAACCUAGUUGACCUUUUUUUCUACUUUUUGUCAAAUUUCAUGAAGAUUUUGUACUACCUCUUAGGACACUGCAAAGUUUUGUAUGUGUUUCCUGGUUGCAUGACAAUAUUCAAGACAAUUUUGUAAAUAUUGAAAUACAGCAUUUGAAGGUCUUGUCUGUCAAGACGAACAGGAGUGCCACAGGGUAUAAAUUUGAGUACAUCAUUGGAAGCCUUUGCUUCUUUUCAUUUCUGGUUGAGAAUUUAUCACAUUUUGUUUAUUACUUAUUGAUGGUAGAGUAAUAAGAUUUAAUUUUAACUUUGGCUACUUAUCUCAAGAUAAGUCAUCAUUUCCCAUAGGAUAUAAUUAAGGCUUAUGGUACAUGUAAGGGCAUAAAUCUUCAUUCUGUGCCUCUAGUAAUGAUAGACUAUUAAUGUAAAUAUUUCUUUCUAGUCCUUGUAAGAAACAUCUAUUAAAAGAGUUUCUUCUACCUCCUUGAAUUAAUACAUUAUUAUGUUCACAUUGCAUGACAGCUUUCAAGACAAGUUGUAAAUAACUGAUACAUCUUUCCAUUUGAAAAAUGCAUUUUCAGAUGCAUAUUCACAACAAAAGAUAAACCUGUAAAUAUUACAUUUAGUACUACUCAGUGUCUUAAGUAUAAAAUUCUGAGUAAGCUAUUUUUGCUUAGAGAAAAAUUACUUAAAGAAAACUAGAUUUAUUUUCAUGAAAGAUGUGACAAGUAAUUCAAAUUUUGAGUUAAGUUGAGAAUUGCUAAAAGCAUUGUUUCUUGAUUCUAACCAAGGCACACUUGUUUUUUCAUAUGUAAUUAUAUUUUUUUCACAUACAUUAUAGUAGUAAUGUAUAAUGUUUGAUUUUUUUAACCUGUAUUCCAACUUUACAAAUUAUAAAAUAACUUUUAUUUCUAGUUCGCAAUCUCAAUGCUAUUACUAGACACAUUUUGUGAUAAUAAAGAGCCUAUAACUUUGUAAAUUUAUAAUUUUUGCUUUCUGAGAUACGGUUUCAAUACAUAAAAGUUUAAAAAUUGUUUAAUAUUUAUAUAUUUUUCAUCAGAUUAUUAAAGUUGGAUAUCUAUUGUUCCCUCUGACGUACUUUAAGAAAAAGUAGGCUGUAUGAUAUAUAAGGCAAUAUUAGUUACAAAGUAGAGUUCGCCUGUAUGCGGAACACCAACCAGCACCUGCCAAGAGAGACCAUGCGCAGCUGCACCUCCAUUUGCGACAUCCUUGGCUGUCAAGGGCUAUCAAGAUACUGUCAGCAGAAAGUAUGGAAGCAGAAGAACCGAACCCCUCCCUACAGGAACAGAAGUAUAAGAAUAUGUUUUUAUCAUUUCCGUUUCUCAAAUUUAAUAACACAAGGCCUGUAGCUUAAGAUGAUUAUGAUAUAACAUUUAAAAUAUUGUUUUUCAAUAGAAGUGGGGUUUGUGGUAUUGUAAUUGAAGAAAAGAACAAUUUACAUAUAGAUACAUUUUAGUUUUUCAAACUAAGGUAUAUAAUUAAGAAUACUAAUAAUACGUGGGUGGUUGAUUAAGGUAGACAAUGUAUAUCUGCUUUGAGAUUGCCACCUAGAAUAAAUGAAAAAUUUAGGCAAACAGAAAACAUGUUCAAGAAGGAUGUUAAAUUUUUACUACCUCUAAAGAGGAGUAAGACAACUUCUGUCUUUGUAUGUUUUAAGGCCUUUGUUAAUAAGCAUCUUAACAACAAGAAAUAGACCUUUUUUUUCCCAGUAGCUUUGAUUGUCAACAUCCCGGGAGUGAUGGGUUGCCUUAUCCCGAAGUUCUGUUUUUGAAUACUCAAGGAUCUCAUGUGACAGCAAAGAGUAUUGCAUUAGCCACGAGGUCAUGACGACAAACUUCUUAAAUCUACAUUUGUGAUCAACUUUUGGAGUCGAAGACAAAUUACUUUUAAAGUGUUAUCUGCAGCCUAUAGGUAGUCACCAAAAUGGAUAAUCAUUGUUUGUACAAGAUUGCUAAUUGGAAAAAGGUCUAGAAGGUGUGGCGUGAAUGCUCUUACCAAUCAUUAAAAUUGAACUAGCUAUUUGGAUGGAGACUGGAAGAUGUCUUUGAAGACUUUUUUAAAGACUUAGUGUUUCUGAUGGACUAACUCAAGAAAAGUAUGCUGACACUGACAUUAACUUCAGUGUUUUCGGCGCUGCUCAUAAUGACUGCAGGAAUAUUUCCUGUAGUCAAAUUAAUGUUCAUAAUUGUCAAGUUGGAAAAAAUGCAACUUUAAUUUCGUUUGCACCACAUUUAAUAGAUUUAAGUAGGACAGAAUAGAUUAAGUUGAGUCUUCCUAUACUACUUCAAGGAGGAUUCUGGGAUUGCAGUCAUGUAUUACAGCGACAGGUCAUGUGGUUCUGAGGGUCAAACUCAGAGAUUCCUGUGGCUCACCAACUACUCUACCAAUUGAACUACUACAUCCCUAGCUAAAGAAUGCGGUUUGCGUCUAAUCCAGGAAUAGUGUUGCACAACUGUCGUCCCUCGCUCCUUACAACUCAACACAGGGAGGCUGAAGGCCUGAGGCCAGCUUGGCAACUCUGAGACCUCUUCUCCACAUCUCAACAACAAAAAAGGUGGUGACCAUCUUGACAAACACACCAAAAAUACCUUCUGAAAAGGCUUUGUCUACAGGAUCUCCCAAGUACAGUUAUUAAAUUGAUUGUUUUUGGAGUCCCUUAUCAUCUCACAACUUGCACAGGAGACUUCAAUGGAAUAGAAACGACCUGCUUUGGGCAAGUAACUGACUGGAAUGUUCAGUUCUUUUGCUUUCAGUACAUCUUGUAUUCUCAUAUUGUAUGUUACCUAUUUUCUCAUUCAUAUUUCACUUUUUGAGCAGAAGAGACUUUUGUGUGGGGAUUGUACAAUUAAUGUGCACAGAUUUUUUUUAUGAUACUUCAGAUGGUAACAAGGUUUUCAGAGUAAUUGAGUUUCCCUGCACACCAGUUUUGUUAUCAUUUGUGAGACGAUUUCCUCCUCCUUUAAACAAGAAAUGCAGAUUUUAGGCAGGCCCCAAGAAGAUUCUCUUACAUACUGUGUUCUCUAGAGAAGGUCCUCUAGCUGCUGCUUUACUGACAUUAAUGACCUCUGUCUGGGGCAGAAGUACAAGUUUCUGUGGUUUGCCUUUUCUUCAAUACCCCAACUGCAGACGUCAAUGCCAUUGAAACUAUGAAUAUGUAGAGAAAUGCAAGCCUUGCACUGAUGAGGUGACACAUGGGGCUGCUAUCUUGUAGAAUGUGUGGCAUCAUCAUUUUAUCGGUAUCACCCGUCCUUUUAGGUCACUGUAUCAAAGACAUUUGCAUUAUUACACUUGUUCCUGCUUAACCUAAGUGAAGUUAAUAUACAGGACUUUAAAAAAAAAGUAUUAGUUAUUUGCUUCUAGACCAUAAGUCAUGCUGUUCAUUGGGGAAUUACUAUCUGCAUCUCUCAAUAUCUUUUAAUAGUUGUUAAGUGUAAGGACACUUGCCAAGAGUUUUUAAAGUGUGUGUGCAUGUAUGUCUUCAUGUGAGUAUGUUCAUGUUAGGUAUCUGCAGGGGUCAGAAAUGAAUGCAGUCCCCCUAAAGCUGGAGUUAGAGGUGAGCCAUGAUUGCUCAACCCCCAGAUAUUUUAAGAUUAUUUACUAAUUGUUUAAUAGGAGCCAGUAAGAUGUCUCCCUGGAAAAAGAGAUUUCCAUCAAAGCCCCGAUGUAUAUCUCUGGAAGCCAGGUGGGAAAGAAUAUAACAGAGAACAGGAAUCUGUUCUUGUGGUAUAAUAGUACCCAGGGCUAAUUCUUAAACUGCACCCUGGUAAAUAGUUGUGGUGCACAAACCUGGGGCCAGAUUUGAACGCUAGCAGAUGAUUUUUGAUCACUUGGUGUACUGUAUGGUUCAUCCAGAGGCUCUUUGAUAGAUUUUGAAACAGAAGAUACACAAUGCUUUUGCUUGUACUCGAUUCUGAAUCGUCUCCAUCAGCGGGUCUCAAGCUGUGGCUUGUGACCCAUUUGGUAUUCAACAUUCAUUUAACAGGGGUCACCUAAGACUAUUGAUAACAGGGAUUUAUAUUACAAUUCGUAACAGUAGCCAAAUUGCAGAUAUGAAUUAGCAACAAAAAAUAAUUUUAUGAUUGGGAAGUUACCAUAGCAUGAGUAACUGCAUUAAAGGGUCACAUUAUUAGGAAGAUUGAGAAGCACUGAGAUACAUGUUCAAAUAUAUAGUUGUUGAAUGAAAUACUUAAGGCUUUUGGUACUUGGCCCUUCAUAUUUUUUUUUGCAAUUUUUAAAGCUAGGUGUUUUAGUACAUUGAAAUAUCACCAUCAACAAUGAUUAAGGCAUUCUCUGGUCGUUCAUUCUUGAUCUUCUAGCCGUGAUGAGUUAAGCCUUCAUAAUAUAUAUAUAGUAGUUAGUAGCUUUAUUAUGUUUAUGUAAAUUGUAUGUGGCAUUUGUAGAUGUAUGAUCUUUGUAUUAAUGUUUUUAAACUUUCUUUUUUAAUAUAGCACAGAGGUAUUUCCAAACUAGUAGUUUAAGUUUACAAAAACAUGCUUUGCUCUACAUGUGAUAUUGUUGAUGAGAUUGUACAUAAUUAUAUCACUAUGAAAAUAUAUUUGGGUUCGUAAUGAUUUUCUAGGUGUGAAAAUAUUAUAUCAUCAUCUAUGGUUUCUGUCAAUGUUGUGAAAUUGCUCUUAAAGGUUAUCCGGGCUAAGCCAGAGAAGUGGUGUCAUGAAAGUGCUAAUUUUCAUAAAUGUGUUUACUAUGUUUCAAAAACAUUUAAAUCAUAGUCAAUCUAAUCAGUGAAAUCAUGUUUUUAAAACCUAAGCCUACUUUAAAUGUGAAGUGGCCAAGAUCUUACAAAAAUAAGUACAUUUUUAGAUGUAAAAAAAAACUUCAAAUGUCUCCAAAUUUUCCACUUCCUCCUAAAUCCCUUGAGUAUAUACUAUGGUAAUGAGUUUUUUCUUUCUCUUUUAUUUUGAUAAAAUUUUGGGGCUGUAUGCUCUUUAUCUAGUCUUCCUCUCUGCUUUCCUCUCAUGCAUCAUUUCCUUUUUUUUUCCUUCCUGUUCCUCUCAUCUUAUUUCUGCUUAUUUAUGCCAUGUAGUUCUCUGAGCUACAUAUUAGCUGCAGAUAUGAUCUCCUAAUUGUCCAAUAUUUUCCUGCAUGUACAUUAUAAAAGUGUGUGUGUGUGUUCCUUCAAACCUGACUUAAAAUAUAAGAACUCUGAUGUGUUAGUUUUGCUUUAUCAUAUUGCAUUGUAUUAUGCUAAUUAUAUUAUUAUAUUAAUUAUAUCAUAAAAC
This is a long non-coding RNA of Microtus ochrogaster (prairie vole), 6309 nucleotides long. RefSeq lists it as uncharacterized. The transcript is spliced from 7 exons. Lineage: Eukaryota; Metazoa; Chordata; Mammalia; Rodentia; Cricetidae. The record is from RefSeq and is a predicted model, not a curated record.